RNA transcript from Zingiber officinale, 2380 nucleotides. RefSeq lists it as uncharacterized. The transcript is spliced from 2 exons. The record is from RefSeq and is a predicted model, not a curated record. Lineage: Eukaryota; Viridiplantae; Streptophyta; Magnoliopsida; Zingiberales; Zingiberaceae.
UCGUUUUUCUGUUUUCCCUUUCGUCUCUGCUGUCUCGUCAUAUCUUCGUCCACUUCCACUCUCCUUCCCGAGCUUCCAUUCUAUUAUUUUGGAGAGAUUUUAGGGCUUUUUCAGUGUUUAGAUUCGGUCGCGAUCUCUCGAAUCCAGUCGGCUGCUGGCAAGAGAUCAGUGUUGCGAAGUUCCCUCCCGAUUCAGCGUGAUUUGGUCUCUCUUUUGGGAAUUUUAUCUCCUCCGGUCGCGGCUGCUGAUUUCAGCUCUAGACUUGUCUUUUCUUCGAUUGAUUGGCAUUGGGAAAAGGUUGAAUUUGUCUGGUUGAUAGCUGGUGCUUCUUUCGGGCCUCAGUAUUGGGAUUUGGAAAGGAAUUGUUGAUGAUUUGAGGGGUUGUAGUAGUUCUUGGAGUUCCAGUGCUUGUUCACUUCAAGGUGUAAGAGAAUAGAGGCAUUGUUCAAGUCCAAGACGAUCUUUGCUUUAUGGUGGUCUGCCAUCUUGCUUCAGGUAUUUUGGGCAAAUUUUAGCUUUCGAGUUUGCUGUUUCUUUAUGAGCGUGUCAAAUGUUUCAAGACUAUUGUUAUCCAAAAGUUGGGUCGAUGUAAAAGCCAUUUCUGCUUGUUAACUGUAAUCUAUCUUGCGGUCUGACCUCAUAAAGAUUUAUUCUCGUUUGUUCUUCUGCAUUGCAUCCGCUUAGUCUUAUGAGACGAUUUGGAGGAAUACAUAUGUUGUUGUCUCUGUUUACCAGUGUUUCAUCUUGAUCCCUCAACACAUUGGCGAGGGAUCUAGGUACCGGGCGAGUAGAAUUUAAAUUGGAAUUUAGCUUUGAAGAUUUUGUCAAUGAAGCUCCUCGGAUCAGUUCAGUCUAUUCACCAUUUCAUGAUUCUUCUUGGACUUGUUGUGUUGCUGUUUGCAUAUCAGUGUAAGGCCCAAUCACCAGGUGCAUCUUCAAGCUCUGCGAGUUCACUGAAUGCUCUUCUUCAGGAUUAUGCUUACCAUGCUCUUGUUCGUCCUCACACUGGAAUUAUCUAUCCUGGUAAUGUACCUUCGAAUCUCACUGGUAUCGAAAUUGCAGCAGUAAGACUCAGAAGCGGGAGUUUAAGAAGGAGAAGAAUGAGGUAUAAUGAAUUUGAGAUCCCGGCCGGCCUCAUUGUGCAGCCCUAUGUCAGAAGGCUGGUAUUGGUGUAUCACAAUCUGGGUAACUGGUCCUCUUUCUACUACCCUCUUCCUGGUUAUACCUACCUGACUCCUGUCCUUGGGAUACUUGCUUAUGAUGCAACAAAUUUGUCUGCGACUAACUUGCCAGAAUUAAGCAUUGUAGUUUCGGAAUCAUUCAUUUCAAUUAAUUUUACCAAUGUAACUCAUGUUCUGCGUGGGGAUGCUAGAUGUGUGUGGUUUGAUGUGAAUGGCUCACCGGAUUUCCAGAACUUGGUAUCAAGCAAUACCUGCUCAACAUACCGUCUAGGGCACUUCUCCAUUGUGAUCAACUCCAGUGAGAUAGCUCCUUCCCCAAUGCCUAGUUCACCUCCAGGGCCGGUGACUACUCCUGGUGGUUCUAAGAACAGCAAUGCUAAGGCAUGGAAGAUUGCCGGGGGUGUUGUUGGUGGUCUUGUGGCUCUAGCUGCCUUAAUGCUACUUAUUUAUUGUAUACGCCAGAGAAAGAAUAAGAAGGUGGGGCAAUUGGAGCAGCAUGCAGAUGCAGGGGUUUCUCUACAAACAGCAAGGGUUGGAAAUACACAGAUUCCUGUGGCUUCAGGGACACGGACACUGCCAGUCCUCGAGAAUGAACUUGUUGCUUAAGUGCUAUUGCUUUCUCCAGUUAAGGAACCACUUCAAGGAUUGAACUUAGGAACUAGCUGAAGACCGUCUUUUCAAGUGUUUCAUAUGUAUAGAACCAGAGGCUGCCAUUGCUACGUUCCAUGUUGUCCUGCAUUGGCUGACAUGGGUUGAACUCCGCAUCAUAGCUUAUUUACGUUACAAAGUUGUAGAUUCUUAAGAUUCAGACGUAGGAACUGGACAUAGAGAUGGACUGAAUCAUUUAAUCCAAUGACAUUAGGAAAGCGAUGAAAAGUAUAGGAAGGAACGAGAUGCUUGGGUUCUGGGAACCAGAAAUGUUUGUUUUUUUCCUUUGAAAACAGGUCCGGAGUUGAACCGGUCAGCAUCAGCAGGCUUUUUAAUGAAUAGUAUGUAUAACUUCCAACUGUUUAUAUUGGGGCUGAUUAAAUUUGUCUCCCGUGCUUGUUUGUUUUAAUAAAUUUAUGUUGAACUUUAGAAAUUAAUAAUAAAUUUCUCAGCGGUGAGCAAAGUUUAAAAUGUCAAAUCGUGUCGAAGUUACUGGUUCAGUGUCGGUAGUGGAUUGUAAUUGAAGAAGAAAGGAGAUAAAAUAUAAAUAG